UACAGAGGUCCCAAGCGUUGUUCGGUUUCACUGGGCGUAAAGGGUGCGUAGGCGGCGCGGUAAGUCAGGUGUGAAAUCUCGGGGCUUAACUCCGAAACUGCAUUCGAUACUGCCGUGCUUGAGGACUGGAGAGGAGACUGGAAUUUACGGUGUAGCGGUGAAAUGCGUAGAUAUCGUAAGGAAGACCAGUGGCGAAGGCGGGUCUCUGGACAGUUCCUGACGCUGAGGCACGAAGGCCAGGGGAGCAAACGGG
RNAcentral lists this ribosomal RNA (253 nucleotides) under uncultured bacterium. RNAcentral's name for it is "partial 16S ribosomal RNA". It matches the Rfam family "Bacterial small subunit ribosomal RNA", at positions 524 to 776 of the family's 1533-position model. The record is from RNAcentral.